Long non-coding RNA from Nannospalax galili (Upper Galilee mountains blind mole rat), 826 nucleotides. RefSeq lists it as uncharacterized. The record is from RefSeq and is a predicted model, not a curated record. The transcript has 5 exons. Lineage: Eukaryota; Metazoa; Chordata; Mammalia; Rodentia; Spalacidae.
UUUACCUGAGCUCACAGAGGCUGCUAUAAACCAGAUGUCACCUUGCUUAGAUAGGCUGUGAACUUUGGGAAGACAAGGGGACUGGGAUACAAGUCUUCUUCUAGAAAGAAAAGUCUCUUGGAAGAAGGAGACCACAAAGGACCCCACCUAAGUGAAAUUAUCCUAGUGACCCAUUGAAGGGUGAAGUCAUGAUACUGAAGGCCACAGCCAUGCCAGCAGGAUCCCAGAAACACAGUGUGGAUCCUGUGCUGUAGAGAAACAAGAGUUCUGCCCCCUCAGCAUCCAGGAAGGACUGAGGUGUAUAAACAGUGUGAAGGACUCCCCUGUCCAGAUUGUUUUGAAGAGAAGCUGUUGGAGGAAGUAGACACCUAACAGUCUGUCUCUGGGGCUGUUGGACAUCUGUUGAGAGUGGGCAUCAAUGGAAGUGGAACCUCCGCACACUUUCUCAGUGAUGAUAAAAACGGGGUCGGUGGAGACAUCAGAUUGCAUGUGCCAAGAGUCAGUAAGAUGGAGCUGCUGUUUUGUCUUAAUGUUCCUGCAAAAUGUGUUUAAGACUAAAUGCAGAUGAGCAAUUUACCCGAAGAUAAAGAGGUGUAUGGACAAGGCUCUGACCCUUAUUACUGGAACUCAAAUCCAGAUGGAGUUUGGUUUGAAAUCUGAUGUUUCCCAGCCUACAUGAAGGCAACAGUCUGGCAGAAGUUAGCCCUGGAGUUCUUCAGUCUCCACACCACUGGAUCUCUGGCAAGGGAACCCUUUUAAUCUCUGCAUUUGCAUCUGUUCAAGGGCAUCUGACUCUGGUGACCCUCAACAUUUCCUCAUGAUUUCA